Molecule: ribosomal RNA, 468 nt
Filed under: uncultured bacterium
Lineage: Bacteria
Description: partial 16S ribosomal RNA
Rfam family: Bacterial small subunit ribosomal RNA
Source: RNAcentral
GACGAACGCUGGCGGCGUGCUUAACACAUGCAAGUCGAACGGAAAGGCCCUGCUUUUGUGGGGUGCUCGAGUGGCGAACGGGUGAGUAACACGUGAGUAACCUGCCCUUGACUUUGGGAUAACUUCAGGAAACUGGGGCUACUACCGGAUAGGAGCUCCUGCUGCAUGGUGGGGGUUGGAAAGUUUCGGCGGGUGGGGAUGGACUCGCGGCUUAUCAGCUUGUUGGUGGGGUAGUGGCUUACCCAGGCUUUGACGGGUAGCCGGCCUGAGAGGGUGACCGGGCACAUUGGGACUGAGAUACGGCCCAGACGCCUACGGGAGGCAGCAGUGGGGAAUAUUGCACAAUGGGCGGAAGCCUGAUGCAGCAACGCCGCGUGCGGGAUGACGGCCUUCGGGUUGUAAACCGCUUUCGCCUGUGACGAAGCGUGAGUGACGGUAAUGGGUAAAGAAGCACCGGCUAACUACGUG